UGGGGAAUUUUGGACAAUGGGCGAAAGCCUGAUCCAGCAAUGCCGCGUGUGUGAAGAAGGCCUUCGGGUUGUAAAGCACUUUUGUCCGGAAAGAAAUCCUUGGCUCUAAUACAGUCGGGGGAUGACGGUACCGGAAGAAUAAGCACCGGCUAACUACGUGCCAGCAGCCGCGGUAAUACGUAGGGUGCAAGCGUUAAUCGGAAUUACUGGGCGUAAAGCGUGCGCAGGCGGUUUGCUAAGACCGAUGUGAAAUCCCCGGGCUCAACCUGGGAACUGCAUUGGUGACUGGCAGGCUAGAGUAUGGCAGAGGGGGGUAGAAUUCCACGUNUAGCAGUGAAAUGCGUAGAGAUGUGGAGGAAUACCGAUGGCGAAGGCAGCCCCCUGGGCAAUACUGACGCUCAUGCACGAAAGCGUGGGGAGCAAACAGGAUUAGAUACCCUGGUAGUCCACGCCCUAAACGAUGUCAACUAGUUGUUGGGGAUUCAUUUCCUUAGUAACGUAGCUAACGCGUGAAGUUGACCGCCUGGGGAGUACGGUCGCAAGAUUAAAACUCAAAUGAAUUGACGGGGUCAUAGCUGUUUCC
This 583-nucleotide ribosomal RNA is filed under the name uncultured bacterium. Its description in RNAcentral is "partial 16S ribosomal RNA". It matches the Rfam family "Bacterial small subunit ribosomal RNA", at positions 355 to 937 of the family's 1533-position model. The record is from RNAcentral.